GGGGGAGGGAGAGAGUUACACAUUAGAGUGCUGGAGUGGAAAAGAUAAAGAUGGGUUGAUGCUGUUAGCCGGUUGACAGUGAGAGAGGGGUGCAGAGCUGUGCUGAUGAAGGACAGAUGGAGGAAGAUUGGACUGUGAUGGGUGAAGAUGGAAAGCAGAAAAAAAGAGAAACUCUUCUCACUAGAUGGGCAGGAAAAUGAGGCUGUGAUACUAAGGGUUGAGGGUUGUGAUAGGCUGAAUGUGAUACUGAGGGUUGAGGGUUGUGAUAGGCUGAAUGUGAUUCUGAGGGUUGUGAUAGGCUGAAUGUGAUUCUGAGGGUUGUGAUAGGCUGAAUGUGAUACUGAGGGUUGAGGGUUGUGAUAGGCUGAAUGUGAUACUGAGGGUUAAGGGUUGUGAUAGGCUGAAUGUGAUACUGAGGGUUAAGGGUUGUGAUAGGCUGAAUGUGAUACUGAGGGUUAAGGGUUGUGAUAGGCUGAAUGUGAUACUGAGGGUUGUGAUAGG
This is a long non-coding RNA of Clupea harengus (Atlantic herring), 501 nucleotides long. The record is from Ensembl. Lineage: Eukaryota; Metazoa; Chordata; Actinopteri; Clupeiformes; Clupeidae.